AACAACUGACGCUGAUGGACGAAAGCGUGGGGAGCGAACAGGAUUAGAUACCCUGGUANNCCACNNNNUAAACGAUGCUAACUNGUUUUUGGAAUGUAAGUUUCAGAGACUAAGCGAAAGUGAUAAGUUAGCCACCUGGGGAGUACGAACGCAAGUUUGAAACUCAAAGGAAUUGACGGGGGCCCGCACAAGCGGUGGAUUAUGUGGUUUAAUUCGAUGAUACGCGAGGAACCUUACCAAGGCUUAAAUGGGAAAUGACAGGUUUAGAAAUAGACUUUUCUUCGGACAUUUUUCAAGGUGCUGCAUGGUUGUCGUCAGCUCGUGCCGUGAGGUGUUAGGUUAAGUCCUGCAACGAGCGCAACCCCUGUCACUAGUUGCCAUCAUUAAGUUGGGGACUCUAGUGAGACUGCCUACGCAAGUAGAGAGGAAGGUGGGGAUGACGUCAAAUCAUCACGGCCCUUACGCCUUGGGCCACACACGUAAUACAAUGGCCGGUACAGAGGGCAGCUACACUGCGAAGUGAUGCAAAUCUCGAAAGCCGGUCUCAGUUCGGAUUGGAGUCUGCAACUCGACUCUAUGAAGCUGGAAUCGCUAGUAAUCGCGCAUCAGCCAUGGCGCGGUGAAUACGUUCCCGGGCCUUGUACACACCGCCCGUCAAGCCAUGGAAGUCUGGGGUACCUGAAGUCGGUGACCGUAACAGGAGCUGCCUAGGGUAAAACAGGUAACUAGGGCU
Molecule: ribosomal RNA, 733 nt
Filed under: uncultured prokaryote
Description: bacterial SSU rRNA
Rfam family: Bacterial small subunit ribosomal RNA
Source: RNAcentral